GGAGAGGUGGCAGAGUGGUCGAUUGCGGCGGUCUUGAAAACCGUUGUACCGCGAAGAUGCCGGGGUUCGAAUCCCUGUCUCUCCG
This 85-nucleotide transfer RNA is filed under the name Bacteroides thetaiotaomicron. RNAcentral describes it as "tRNA-Ser". It matches the Rfam family "tRNA". From Rfam's summary of the family: Transfer RNA (tRNA) molecules are approximately 80 nucleotides in length. Lineage: Bacteria; Pseudomonadati; Bacteroidota; Bacteroidia; Bacteroidales; Bacteroidaceae. The record is from RNAcentral.